RNAcentral lists this ribosomal RNA (245 nucleotides) under Sebacinaceae sp. 3 CRJH-2017. RNAcentral describes it as "partial 28S ribosomal RNA". It matches the Rfam family "Eukaryotic large subunit ribosomal RNA", at positions 104 to 344 of the family's 3401-position model. The record is from RNAcentral. Lineage: Eukaryota; Fungi; Basidiomycota; Agaricomycetes; Sebacinales; Sebacinaceae.
AGAGCUCAAAUUUUGAAUCUGGUGUCUUCGGCGCCCGAAUUGUAAUCUAGAGAAGCGUUUUCCGCAUCGGACCGUGCACAAGUUCCCUGGAACGGGGCGUCAUAGAGGGUGAGAAUCCCGUACGUGGCACGGACUCCCGGUGCUCUGCGAUACGCUCUCAACGAGUCGAGUUGUUUGGGAAUGCAGCUCAAAAUGGGUGGUAAAUUCCAUCUAAAGCUAAAUAUUGGCGAGAGACCGAUAGCGAA